RNAcentral lists this microRNA precursor (78 nucleotides) under Erinaceus europaeus (western European hedgehog). Its description in RNAcentral is "mir-653 microRNA precursor family". It matches the Rfam family "mir-653 microRNA precursor family". Lineage: Eukaryota; Metazoa; Chordata; Mammalia; Eulipotyphla; Erinaceidae. The record is from Rfam by way of RNAcentral.
UCCUUCAGUGUUGAAACAUUCUCAGCUGAACCAGACUCCAAACCAAGUUCACUGGAGUUUGUUUCAAUAUUGCAAGAA